Mauremys reevesii (Reeves's turtle) is the source of this 395-nucleotide long non-coding RNA. RefSeq lists it as uncharacterized. The record is from RefSeq and is a predicted model, not a curated record. Lineage: Eukaryota; Metazoa; Chordata; Testudines; Geoemydidae. The transcript has 3 exons.
GUCCUCCAGGCUAUGUUACAUAUCUUCAUUUGAACAGAAUGAUACUCAGUUCAGUAUAUUUGAACAACUUUUGUAGAUGGAAAGAUUUUACCUAGAAACAUAAUUUUGCAAUGAAAUGAGAAGCAUUGUUACAGAUUGAGGCAGAUGCUGCAUGUGUGUUGCAAGAAGAUGUAAACAGGCUCAGCAGUGCACGAUGACACACCUUUCACAGCCAGAGCCCAGUUCUCCUGACUUCUGCAUCAUACAGCCACUGCUGGGGACCCACACUUCCAAGUCACAAAUGUGUGAAAUCACCCUAUUACCUACAGCAGUAGCUGUGAGCAGGCAGCUAUUUUCAGAUGCAAGCAUGUAGAUGAAGCACUCCCCCCUCUCACCUACCUUGGUUGAAACCCAGU